AGAGUAUGAUAUUGGUUUAGAAUAAAUGUUGGCGGCGUGUCUGAAUGAUGUAAGUUUUAUGAGAAUGGCACCUUUGGGUGCUUAGUAAAGAGGUGAAUGGGUGAGUAAUAUGUGUGUAAUUUAUUUUUGUGGUUGUGGGAUAACACCUUGAAAGAGGUGUUAAUAUUUAAUAGAGUUAUGUGAUAUAAGUUAUUUAAUGAAAGAUGGUUUUUGUUUGUAAGUUAUCGCCCAAAGAUGGACACGCGGUCUAUUAGUUAGUUGGUGAGGUAAUGGCUCACCAAGGUUGUGAUGGAUAGUUGGUUUGAGAGGGUGGUUGGCCAUAUUGGGAUUGAGAUAUGGCCCAGACUCCUACGGGAGGUAGUAAAUUGGAAUAAUCGACAAUGGGAGAAAUCCUGAUCGUGCGACGCCGCGUGAGCGAUGAAGGCUUUCGAGUUGUAAAGCUCUGUGUUAUGGGAAGAAAUCUGUCAGGUGAAUAAUUUGUCAGUCUGACGGUACCAUAAUAGAAAGCCCCGGCUAACUACGUGCCAGUAGUUGUGGUAAUACGUAGGGGGCAAGCGUUGCUCGGAAUUACUGGGCGUAAAGGGCAUACAGGCGGCUAUAUAAGUCGGGUGUGAAAUUUUUGGGUUUAAUCCAAGAUUUGCAUCCGAUACUGUGUAGCUUGAGAACAGGAGAGGAGAGUGGAAUAUGUGGUGUAGUGGUGAAAUGUGUAGAGAUUAUAUAGAAUAUUAGUGGUGAAGGUGGCUCUCUGGCCUGAUUCUGACGCUGACGUGUGAAAGCUAGGGUAGUGAAUGGGAUUAGAUAUCCCGGUAGUUUUAGUCGUAAACGAUGGGUACUAAGUGUAGGAGGUAAUUGAUUUCUUCUGUGCUGUAGUUAAUGUAUUAAGUACCCCGUUUGGGGACUACGACCGUAAGGUUAAAACUCAAAGUAAUUGAUGGGGCUCCGCACAAGCGGUGGAGCAUGUUGCUUAAUUUGAAGCAACGUGAAGAACUUUAUCCAGUGGCUUGACAUCCUCUGACAAUCGUGGAAAUAUGGUUUUCCCUUUGGGGACAGAGUGACAGGUGCUGUAUGGCAGUCGUCAGUUUGUGUUGUGAGAUGUUGGGUUAAGUUUUGUAAUGAGUGUAAUUUCUAUUUUUAGUUGUUAGUGUGUAAUGGUGGGGAUUUUAGAGAGAUUGUUGGUGAUAAAUUGGAGGAAGGUGGGGAUGACGUUAUGUCCUUAUGGCCCUUAUGCCCUGGGCUGUAUACGUGCUACAAUGGUCGGUACAACGGGUUGUGAAAUUGUGAGGUGGAA
Molecule: ribosomal RNA, 1288 nt
Filed under: metagenome
Description: bacterial SSU rRNA
Rfam family: Bacterial small subunit ribosomal RNA
Source: RNAcentral